AUCGCUUGUUUGCUGCCUCCACGAGAUCAAAGCCUGAUCCUUGUUACUCUGUUACUUCAGUCUGGCUGCAGCGUUGCAUGAUGGCGCUCUAGCAUCUACGGCCUCCGAUCUUCUCGUCGUUUACCUUGCAGUUUAGUCAGGUCCAAGGCCUCGCCUUCAUCAACUUCAAAAUCAACCGGAGUCCAAACUAAUCAGCAAUACAAAGUACUACCGGAGUGCCGGGAUCAGUCCGUCAGUCUCUGCAGCCCCAGCGCAGCAGCACUUUGCUCCCUGUCACCGCCUAGUCGCCCCUGCCCCCGCAGCAUUUGUUUCUUCCCGGAUAGGAUCGCGAAGUGGUGCGGUGAGAUACGAC
Lolium rigidum is the source of this 352-nucleotide long non-coding RNA. RefSeq lists it as uncharacterized. The record is from RefSeq and is a predicted model, not a curated record. Lineage: Eukaryota; Viridiplantae; Streptophyta; Magnoliopsida; Poales; Poaceae. The transcript is spliced from 3 exons.